RNAcentral lists this ribosomal RNA (505 nucleotides) under uncultured bacterium. Its description in RNAcentral is "partial 16S ribosomal RNA". It matches the Rfam family "Bacterial small subunit ribosomal RNA", at positions 28 to 507 of the family's 1533-position model. The record is from RNAcentral.
GACGAACGCUGGCGGCGUGCCUAAUACAUGCAAGUAGAACGCACAGUUUAUACCGUAGCUUGCUACACCAUAGACUGUGAGUUGCGAACGGGUGAGUAACGCGUAGGUAACCUGCCUGGUAGCGGGGGAUAACUAUUGGAAACGAUAGCUAAUACCGCAUAAUAUUAAUUAUUGCAUGAUAAUUAAUUGAAAGGUGCAAUUGCACCACUACCAGAUGGACCUGCGUUGUAUUAGCUAGUAGGUGAGGUAACGGCUCACCUAGGCGGCGAUACAUAGCCGACCUGAGAGGGUGAUCGGCCACACUGGGACUGGGACACGGCCCAGACUCCUACGGGAGGGCGGAGGAGGGAAACUUCCGCAAUGGAAGAAAGUCUGACCGAGCAACGCCGCGUGAGGGAAGAAAGUUUUCGGAUCGUAAAGCUCUGUUGUAAGAGAAGAAAGGGUGUGAGAGUGGAAAGUUCACACUGUGACGGUAUCUUACCAGAAAGGGACGGCUAACUACGUG